Trichonephila inaurata madagascariensis is the source of this 86-nucleotide non-coding RNA. The record is from the annotation of a GenBank genome assembly. Lineage: Eukaryota; Metazoa; Arthropoda; Arachnida; Araneae; Nephilidae.
AUUUUAAGUGGUCGCUCAGCCAGUAUCGUGGCUAUGACCCUCGGCUUGUAACCGAGUGGGUUCGGGUUCGAAUCCCGAGUAAAACA